This 253-nucleotide ribosomal RNA is filed under the name uncultured bacterium. RNAcentral describes it as "partial 16S ribosomal RNA". It matches the Rfam family "Bacterial small subunit ribosomal RNA", at positions 524 to 776 of the family's 1533-position model. The record is from RNAcentral.
UACGGAGGGUGCAAGCGUUGUUCGGAAUCAUUGGGCGUAAAGCGAGUCUAGGUCGGAAGGUAAGUCAGGUGUGAAAGACCCAAGCUCAACUUGGGAAUUGCGCUUGAUACUGCUUUUCUUGAGUCACAGAGAGGUGUGCGGAAUACCUGGUGUAGCAGUGAAAUGCGUAGAUAUCAGGUGGAACAUCGGAGGCGAAAGCGGCACACUGGCUGUGUACUGACACUCAAGCUAGAAGGCGUGGGGAUCAAACAGG